GGAAUUUUGCGCAAUGGGCGCAAGCCUGACGACGCAACGCCGCGUGGAGGAUGAAGGUCUUCGGAUUGUAAACUCCUGUUGCCCGGGACGAAUGGCUCCGACCUAACACGUCGGAGUGUGACGGUACCGGGUGAGGAAGCCCCGGCUAACUCUGUGCCAGCAGCCGCGGUAAUACGGGGGGAGCAAGCGUUGUUCGGAUUUACUGGGCGUAAAGGGCGCGUAGGCGGCCACCGCAAGUCGACUGUGAAAUCUCCGGGCUUAACCCGGAAAGGUCAGCCGAUACCGCGGGGCUAGAGUGCAGAAGGGGCAACUGGAAUUCUCGGUGUAGCGGUGAAAUGCGUAGAUAUCGAGAGGAACACCUGCGGCGAAGGCGGGUUGCUGGGCUGACACUGACGCUGAAGCGCGAAAGCUAGGGGAGCGAAC
RNAcentral lists this ribosomal RNA (423 nucleotides) under uncultured bacterium. Its description in RNAcentral is "bacterial SSU rRNA". It matches the Rfam family "Bacterial small subunit ribosomal RNA", at positions 358 to 773 of the family's 1533-position model. The record is from RNAcentral.